UACGUAGGGUGCAAGCGUUAUCCGGAAUUAUUGGGCGUAAAGAGCUCGUAGGCGGUUUGUCGCGUCUGCUGUGAAAACUGGAGGCUCAACCUCCAGCUUGCAGUCGAUACGGGCAGGCUAGAGUUCGGUAGGGGAGACUGGAAUUCCCGGUGUAGCGGUGAAAUGCGUAGAGAUCGGGAGGAACACCAGAGGCGAAGGCGGCUCACUGGACAGUUACUGACACUCAACUACGAAAGCGUGGGGAGCAAACAGG
This 253-nucleotide ribosomal RNA is filed under the name uncultured bacterium. Its description in RNAcentral is "partial 16S ribosomal RNA". It matches the Rfam family "Bacterial small subunit ribosomal RNA", at positions 524 to 776 of the family's 1533-position model. The record is from RNAcentral.